GGGUGAUUAGCUCAGGGGGAGAGCAUCUCGUUUACACCGAGAGGGUCGGCGGUUCAAUCCCGUCAUCACCCACCA
This 75-nucleotide transfer RNA is filed under the name Holosporales bacterium. Its description in RNAcentral is "tRNA-Val". It matches the Rfam family "tRNA". Rfam says of the family: Transfer RNA (tRNA) molecules are approximately 80 nucleotides in length. Their secondary structure includes four short double-helical elements and three loops (D, anti-codon, and T loops). The record is from RNAcentral. Lineage: Bacteria; Pseudomonadati; Pseudomonadota; Alphaproteobacteria; Holosporales.